GCCCAGACUCCUACGGGAGGCAGCAGUGGGGAAUAUUGCACAAUGGGGGAAACCCUGAUGCAGCGACGCCGCGUGAGUGAAGAAGUAUUUCGGUAUGUAAAGCUCUAUCAGCAGGGAAGAAAAACCGACCAUAGGGUCGCUAGACGGUACCUGAUUAAGAAGCCCCGGCUAACUACGUGCCAGCAGCCGCGGUAAUACGUAGGGGGCAAGCGUUAUCCGGAUUCACUGGGUGUAAAGGGAGCGUAGACGGCGACGCAAGUCUGGAGUGAAAGCCCGGGGCCCAACCCCGGGACUGCUCUUGGAACUGCGCGGCUGGAGUGCAGGAGGGGCAGGCGGAAUUCCUGGUGUAGCGGUGAAAUGCGUAGAUAUCAGGAGGAACACCGGUGGCGAAGGCGGCCUGCUGGACUGCGACUGACGUUGAGGCCCGAAAGCGUGGGGAGCAAACAGGAUUAGAUACCCCAGUAA
Molecule: ribosomal RNA, 465 nt
Filed under: uncultured bacterium
Lineage: Bacteria
Description: partial 16S ribosomal RNA
Rfam family: Bacterial small subunit ribosomal RNA
Source: RNAcentral